AUUGAACGCUGGCGGCAUGCCUUACACAUGCAAGUCGAACGGCAGCACGGGAGCUUGCUCCUGGUGGCGAGUGGCGAACGGGUGGGUAAUACAUCGGAACGUGCCGAAGAGGGGGGGAUAGCUCGGCGAAGGCCGGAUUAAUAGCGCAUGCGACCUACGGGAGAAAGCGGGGGACCGGAAGGCCGCGCGAUAUUGGAGCGGCAGAUGUCUGAUUAGCUUGUUGGUGGGGUAAAAGCCCAACAAGGCGACGAUCAGUAGCGGGUCUGAGGGGACGAUCAGCCACACUGGGACUGAGACCCGGCCCAGACUCCUACGGGAGGCAGCAGUGGGGAAUUUUGGACAAUGGGGGCAACCCUGAUCCAGCAAUGCCGCGUGUGCGAAGAAGGCCUUCGGGUUGCAAAGCACUUUUGUCAGGGAAGAAAUCUUUCAGGCUAAUACCCUCGGAAGGAUGACGGUACCUGAAGAAUAAGCACCGGCUAACUACGUGCCAGCAGCCGCAGUAA
This 503-nucleotide ribosomal RNA is filed under the name uncultured bacterium. Its description in RNAcentral is "partial 16S ribosomal RNA". It matches the Rfam family "Bacterial small subunit ribosomal RNA", at positions 29 to 523 of the family's 1533-position model. The record is from RNAcentral.